Molecule: long non-coding RNA, 1862 nt
Filed under: Jatropha curcas
Lineage: Eukaryota; Viridiplantae; Streptophyta; Magnoliopsida; Malpighiales; Euphorbiaceae
Description: long non-coding RNA (JCUR_LNC003122)
Source: RNAcentral
ACCUUGCCGGGUCCAAAAGGCUUUAGUAGCACACCAAGUUCAUCAUACCUUUCCUCUUGCAGUAAUCUUGCACUAAAUUCAAGCAGUCCUUCCAGAGCUUCAGCUCGCUGCUGGUACGAUGAGGUGUCAAACCUACGGCGCCUUGUGUCUGAUGAGGUGUGGCUUGAUGCCCCAGCAGUUGCAUUUUGAUUAGAGGAGUUGCUUCCUUCCUCUUCGUCUAACUGAAACAUGCUAUGCUCAAUUCCUUGCCAUGCCUCACUGAAAUUGAGCUUCGCAGUGGGUCUGUCACUUAUCUGAACUGUGCAUUUGUCCUUAGUGAUUGAACGGUCACCAUGAUGUGGGGAACCACAUGAUCCUUGUGCUGAAGUUGAUGAAGUUUUCCGGAUAGGAAAGAAUGCCUCUUCAUAUGAAGCUAAUGGAAAUUCAGCUAUCCUGUCAAUUCGUGGUGCAUUGACAGAGACAUCUGGAGAUUUUAUACUGUGAAGGAUACCAAUAUUUGUGGAUCUUGCUGGCAAUGGGAAAGAUGCUCUGCGAUUUGUAGGGUCAGAUUUUUUUGUUGGUGUGCGUGUAACAGGAAGCUGAAAAAGAUAAUGAAAUGACACAUAAGAACCUGAUUUGUGUUUCCAGGAAAAGUUGCAAUUGACAAGCUCUAUGUGCAUUUGUGUGUGCGUGCAUGCAUGCUGGAGUUCGCAUGUGCGAGUGUAAAUGCUUGCAUGUAUGUGUUUGAGAAAAGACAGACAGGAAUUUCCAUUGUCUUACAGAUUCACGUUUCUUCACAGGUUCUCUUUCUCUCCUAACAACAGCAGCAGAAGCUUUUGUUGCGGUAACCUUUGAAGUCUUGGAAAUUUUUGAAGGUUUUGAAGAAGUAAUCGGUUUACAAAUAACUGUUCCUUCAUUGCUACUUCCAAUGGAUAAUUACAAUCUAAGAAGCAUCUGCCUAAAUAUCUAGUGCCUCUUCACAUGUCAUUGACGAAAAGCUGAUAGACCGAGCUCUAAAAACUGUCACAGCUACAAUUAUAAUACAUGUGAAACUGGUUACUUGCUAGGAAUCUUCAGGUUUGAGUAUUCUCCUUGAAGCUUUUUGUCAACCAUAUAGCAGUUUCCCUCGGCGAGACCUUGCCGGGUCCAAAAGGCUUUAGUAGCACACCAAGUUCAUCAUACCUUUCCUCUUGCAGUAAUCUUGCACUAAAUUCAAGCAGUCCUUCCAGAGCUUCAGCUCGCUGCUGGUACGAUGAGGUGUCAAACCUACGGCGCCUUGUGUCUGAUGAGGUGUGGCUUGAUGCCCCAGCAGUUGCAUUUUGAUUAGAGGAGUUGCUUCCUUCCUCUUCGUCUAACUGAAACAUGCUAUGCUCAAUUCCUUGCCAUGCCUCACUGAAAUUGAGCUUCGCAGUGGGUCUGUCACUUAUCUGAACUGUGCAUUUGUCCUUAGUGAUUGAACGGUCACCAUGAUGUGGGGAACCACAUGAUCCUUGUGCUGAAGUUGAUGAAGUUUUCCGGAUAGGAAAGAAUGCCUCUUCAUAUGAAGCUAAUGGAAAUUCAGCUAUCCUGUCAAUUCGUGGUGCAUUGACAGAGACAUCUGGAGAUUUUAUACUGUGAAGGAUACCAAUAUUUGUGGAUCUUGCUGGCAAUGGGAAAGAUGCUCUGCGAUUUGUAGGGUCAGAUUUUUUUGUUGGUGUGCGUGUAACAGGAAGCUGAAAAAGAUAAUGAAAUGACACAUAAGAACCUGAUUUGUGUUUCCAGGAAAAGUUGCAAUUGACAAGCUCUAUGUGCAUUUGUGUGUGCGUGCAUGCAUGCUGGAGUUCGCAUGUGCGAGUGUAAAUGCUUGCAUGUAUGUGUUUGAGAAAAGACAGACAGGAAUUUCC